RNAcentral lists this ribosomal RNA (494 nucleotides) under uncultured bacterium. RNAcentral's name for it is "partial 16S ribosomal RNA". It matches the Rfam family "Bacterial small subunit ribosomal RNA", at positions 28 to 507 of the family's 1533-position model. The record is from RNAcentral.
GACGAACGCUGGCGGCGCGCUUAACACAUGCAAGUCGAACGGAAAGGCCUGCUUUCCCUUGUGGAUUGCGGGUACUCGAGUGGCGAACGGGUGAGUAACACGUGAGUGAUCUGCCCCCAACUUGGGUAUAAGCCUGGGAAACUGGGUCUAAUUCCCGAUAGGACUGCAGGGUGGUGCCUGUGGUGGAAAACGAUUUUCUAGUGGUUGGGGAUGAGCUCGCGGCCUAUCAGCUUGCUGGUGGGGUAAUGGCCUACCAAGGCGGCGACGGGUAGCCGGCCUGAGAGGGUGGACGGCCACAUUGGGACUGGGAUACGGCUCAGACGCCUACGGGAGGCAGGAGUGGGGAAUAUUGCACAAUGGGCGGAAGCCUGAUGCAGCGACGCCGCGUGGGGGAUGACCGCCUUCGGGUUGUAAACUCCUUUCGACCGCGAGGAAGCCACCUGGUUGGAAGGGUGGUGACGUUAGUGGUAGAAGAAGCACCGGCUAACUACGUG